This 256-nucleotide ribosomal RNA is filed under the name uncultured bacterium. RNAcentral describes it as "partial 16S ribosomal RNA". It matches the Rfam family "Bacterial small subunit ribosomal RNA", at positions 524 to 776 of the family's 1533-position model. The record is from RNAcentral.
UACGUAGGGUGCGAGCGUUGUCCGGAAUUACUGGGCGUAAAGAGCUCGUAGGUGGUUUUUGUCGCGUUGUUUCGUGAAAACCUGAGGCUUAACCUUUGGGCGUGCGGGCGAUACGGGCAGACUGGAGUACUGCAGGGGAGACUGGAAUCCUGGUGUAGCGGUGGAAUGCGCAGAUAUCAGGAGGAACACCGGUGGCGAAGGCGGGUCUCUGGGCAGUAACUGACGCUGAGGAGCGAAAGCGUGGGGAGCGAACAGG